Molecule: ribosomal RNA, 301 nt
Filed under: uncultured bacterium
Lineage: Bacteria
Description: partial 16S ribosomal RNA
Rfam family: Bacterial small subunit ribosomal RNA
Source: RNAcentral
CAGCCGCCGCGGUAAUACGAAGGGGGCUAGCGUUGCUCGGAAUGACUGGGCGUAAAGGGCGCGUAGGCGGCGAUCAAAGUCAGGCGUGAAAUUCCUGGGCUCAACCUGGGGGCUGCGCUUGAUACUUGGUUGCUUGAGUGGGGAAGAGGGUCGUGGAAUUCCCAGUGUAGAGGUGAAAUUCGUAGAUAUUGGGAAGAACACCGGUGGCGAAGGCGGCGACCUGGUCCUUGACUGACGCUGAGGCGCGAAAGCGUGGGGAGCAAACGGGAUUAGAUACCCCCGUAGUCCCUGUCUCUUAUAC